AUAUUACUCCCUCCGUUCAAAAAAACUUGUCUCAAACUUUUCCAUCCAAUGGAUAUAUCUAGCACCAACUUGGUGCUAAAUACAUCCAUUUGAGGGACAAACUUUUACGGACGGAGGGAGUAAUAU
Triticum urartu is the source of this 126-nucleotide non-coding RNA. Lineage: Eukaryota; Viridiplantae; Streptophyta; Magnoliopsida; Poales; Poaceae. The record is from Rfam.